This 468-nucleotide ribosomal RNA is filed under the name uncultured bacterium. Its description in RNAcentral is "partial 16S ribosomal RNA". It matches the Rfam family "Bacterial small subunit ribosomal RNA", at positions 28 to 507 of the family's 1533-position model. The record is from RNAcentral.
GACGAACGCUGGCGGCGUGCUUAACACAUGCAAGUCGAACGGAAAGGCCCUGCUUUUGUUGGGUGCUCGAGUGGCGAACGGGUGAGUAACACGUGAGUAACCUGCCCUUGACUUUGGGAUAACUUCAGGAAACUGGGGCUAAUACCGGAUAGGAGCUCCUGCUGCAUGGUGGGGGUUGGAAAGUUUCGGCGGUUGGGGAUGGACUCGCGGCUUAUCAGCUUGUUGGUGGGGUAGUGGCUUACCAAGGCUUUGAAGGGUAGCCGGCCUGAGAGGGUGACCGGCCACAAUGGGACUGAGAUACGGCGCAGACUCCUACGGGAGGCAGCAGUGGGGAAUAUUGCACAAUGGGCGGAAGCCUGAGGCAGCAACGCCGCGUGCGGGAUGACGGCCUUCGGGGGGUAAACAGCUUUCGCCUGUGACGAAGAGGGAGUGACGGUAAUGGGUAAAGAAGCACCGGCUAACUACGUG